GUGGGGAAUCUUAGACAAUGGGGGAAACCCUGAUCUAGCCAUGCCGCGUGAGCGAUGAAGGCCUUAGGGUUGUAAAGCUCUUUCAGAUGGGAAGAUAAUGACGGUACCAUCAGAAGAAGCCCCGGCUAACUCCGUGCCAGCAGCCGCGGUAAUACGGAGGGGGCUAGCGUUGUUCGGAAUUACUGGGCGUAAAGCGCACGUAGGCGGACCAGAAAGUCAGAGGUGAAAUCCCAGGGCUCAACCUUGGAACUGCCUUUGAAACUCCUGGUCUUGAGGUCGAGAGAGGUGAGUGGAAUUCCGAGUGUAGAGGUGAAAUUCGUAGAUAUUCGGAGGAACACCAGUGGCGAAGGCGGCUCACUGGCUCGAUACUGACGCUGAGGUGCGAAAGCGUGGGGAGCAAACAGGAUUAGAAACCCGGGUAGUCC
RNAcentral lists this ribosomal RNA (425 nucleotides) under uncultured bacterium. Its description in RNAcentral is "bacterial SSU rRNA". It matches the Rfam family "Bacterial small subunit ribosomal RNA", at positions 354 to 796 of the family's 1533-position model. The record is from RNAcentral.